AACGCACCUUGCGCUCCUUGGUAUUCCGAGGAGCAUGCCUGUUUGAGUGUCAUGAAAUUCUCAACCCUUCUAGUUUUCAUUAGCUAGUCUGGCUUGGAUUAUGGGGGUUGCUGGCUUCUAAGAAGUCGGCUCUCCUUAAAUGCAUUAGCAAAAUCUUUGCUGACCAUCCCUUGGUGUGAUAAUUAUCUACGCCAUUGAGAAUCAGCUUUUAUAGAUUUAGCUUCUAAUAGUCCUUUCUAGGGACAACUUAUGAAAAUUUGACCUCAAAUCAGGUAGGACUACCCGCUGAACUUAA
Molecule: unclassified non-coding RNA, 295 nt
Filed under: uncultured fungus
Lineage: Eukaryota; Fungi
Also listed under: 1 other name
Description: partial contains 5.8S ribosomal RNA, internal transcribed spacer 2, and large subunit ribosomal RNA
Rfam family: 5.8S ribosomal RNA (bases 1-52)
Source: RNAcentral